RNAcentral lists this long non-coding RNA (671 nucleotides) under Marmota monax (woodchuck). The record is from RNAcentral. Lineage: Eukaryota; Metazoa; Chordata; Mammalia; Rodentia; Sciuridae.
GGAUCAGAGGCCAUGGCAUGAACCUGGGAGGCCGGGUCUCUGUUUCCCCAAGGCCCGGGUUCAAGUCUGCUCUGGGCUCUCUGCCCUGGUGUGUGCAUGUGGUCUGCGGGUGGGAGGCGCCCUCCUCACCUGCUCUCACCUGGUCUGGCUGCAGGGAGCGGGUGACAGGUGCCUCUGUAGCCGGCUCUGUGGCAGCUCAGUAGUCCUCCGGGUCGCCUCUUCAUUCAGGCCAAAUAACCUUCCGGAGCCUUCCUGCACUAGUGGCCAGAAAGCCCCACCCAGGGUGCACCUGGCUCCAAGAGCAGGUGUGGCUGGUUGCGGGAGGGAGGUGAGCCCAGGAGCCUGAGUCUGCGGGGUGCGGGCCAGGAAGGCGUGGAGGAGUGGAGGAGUCCAGGUCACGCUCUUCCAGCCCAGUGCUCUCCGAGAACUGAAGAGAAAACGCCACACACACAGCACCAAGCCGUUCAAUCUUCCUGACAAUUCCAUGGGGGAACCAAAGCACAGAAACCUAAAGUAACUUGCCCAAGGUCACACAGUAGAAGCUGGGAUUUGAAACUAGGGGGCUAGGUCUUGGAAAAUCCCUGGCAACUAGAGACUCUUCUCAGUCUCCCUGAUUUUAAAAACUACUCCUGGGAAAUCACCAUUCAGCAUCCACAGUGACACCAAGAAAC